UGGGGGAUAUUGCACAAUGGGCGAAAGCCUGAUGCAGCGACGCCGCGUGGGGGAUGAAGGCCUUCGGGUUGUAAACUUCUUUUGCUCUGAACAAGGCAUGCUAAUGGGUGUGUUGAGUGUAGGGGUUGAUUAGCGCCGGCUAACUACGUGCCAGCAGCCGCGGUAAUACGUAGGGCGCGAGCGUUGUCCGGAAUUAUUGGGCGUAAAGGGCUUGUAGGUGGCUGGUUGCGUCUGUCGUGAAAGCUCAUGGCUUAACUGUGGGUUUGCAGUUGGUACGGGCUGGCUUGAGUGCAGUAGGGGAGGCUGGAAUUCCUGGUGUAGCGGUGGAAUGCGCAGAUAUCAGGAGGAAUACCGGUGGCGAAGGCGGGUCUCUGGGCUGUUACUGACACUGAGGAGCGAAAGCAUGGGGAGCGAACAGG
Molecule: ribosomal RNA, 419 nt
Filed under: bacterium
Lineage: Bacteria
Description: partial 16S ribosomal RNA
Rfam family: Bacterial small subunit ribosomal RNA
Source: RNAcentral